RNAcentral lists this ribosomal RNA (496 nucleotides) under uncultured bacterium. Its description in RNAcentral is "bacterial SSU rRNA". It matches the Rfam family "Bacterial small subunit ribosomal RNA", at positions 43 to 507 of the family's 1533-position model. The record is from RNAcentral.
CGUGCCUAACACAUGCAAGUCGAACGGAGAUUCAGAUGAAGCUUGCGAUUCUGAAUCUUAGUGGCGGACGGGUGAGUAACGCGUGGGUAAUCUGCCCUUAAGUGGGGGAUAACAGUCGGAAACGACUGCUAAUACCGCAUAAGCUGGCGGGAACACAUGUUUCUGUCAGGAAAGGUGGCCUCUUAACAAUGCUACCGCUUAAGGAUGAGCCCGCGUCUGAUUAGCUAGUAGGUGGGGUAAUGGCCUACCUAGGCGACGAUCAGUAGCCGGCCUGAGAGGGUGUACGGCCACACUGGAACUGAGACACGGUCCAGACUCCUACGGGAGGCAGCAGUCGAGAAUAGUCUACAAUGGCCGGAAGGCUGAUAGUGCGACGCCGCGUGAACGAGGGAGCCCUUCGGGGUGUAAAGUUCUUUUCUAUACGAGCAGUGCUAUAUAUAUGGAUAGUAUAUAUAGAGGGAUAGUAGUAUAGGAAUAAGCAACGGCUAACUCCGUG